UAUUACAAUAGUCACCUUUCUCUUUCAAGUUUUCUUCACCAACAUUGGAUCGCAAGCAACAGCAAAGGUCAACAGCGUUGAAAAAUGGAGAAGAUUCAGAUACAAGUCCCACGAGUCAAACUGGGUAGCCAAGGCUUGGAGGUAAAAUUUCUGGAUAAUUUCUCCUUCCUAUAUGGACAUUUUUCAUUCUCCUCAUUAACCACUUUGUUCAUCAUCCAAAGUUGUUGUUUACAAUGGACUGAUUCUUAAUUCAGCAUCAGGAGGGAGAAUACAUUAAACCAUUUUUCCAUUUUCAUCAAAUGCCUGUUAUUGUCAAUCUCUGCAGUUUAAGAAAAGAUCCUUGUUUUCAUGAUCACCAACUCAGGAAUUAUUUUACCCAAAAAGUUGGCAUGAUUCUAUUUUAAUCACCCAUAAUAGGACUUUGUUCUCCAAAUUUCAACUCCACCCCAAGGAAUCUUCAAUCUGGUGGAGUCUUAGCCUGCAUUUAGUGCAUGCUGAUACUUGUAGAAUAAAUGUCUUUUACUUUUACAAUUUGGAUUUUGUUUUCAAGCAGUAGAGAAUGGUAAUUUUGACCUGUUUUGUAUAUCAGACUAUUUUAGAUUCACAGGUUAGAGCCUGAGUAUGAUGAUAGUGGUAGUGUAUACGUCUCUAACUCAAGUAUGCUUGGGUAAACAACUUAAUUAACCGCUUAUUCAUAAGCUAAUUUGAGAAACUUAUUGAAAUAAGAAAUAAGUUAUAGACUUAUGGUAAGCAUAAACUCUAUUUCAUUAGUUAAUCUGAACAAUCAAGUUAGAAAAAAGAUUACAAACCAUACUGUACUGUAUGCAAGUAAGAGUUACAUAAUUAACAUUUCAAUUUUCAGCUACUCCUUCUGACAUUCUAAAUCUCUCUCUAUAUCCCUGCCUCUCUUGAUUUCUCCCUUUUAGCUGGCCUAGUCUUUGAUUUAGUAUUUGUGAUUGUGAUAAGAUAAGGACACCCCCGCCCCCUCCCGUGUGUAUUUUCAUUUUUGCAAUGCAGGUUUCUAGGUUGGGCUUUGGCUGUGGAGGAUUGUCUGGAAUUUAUAAUGCUCCCUUGUCGCAUGAAGAAGGAUGUUCAAUUAUUAAGGAAGUGUUCAAUAAGGGGGUUACCUUCUUUGAUACAUCAGAUCUUUAUGGAGAUAAUCAUGAUAAUGAAAUCAUGGUUGGUAAGGUAACAUAUUAUCCAACUAAUUCAUUGAGUGGUGGAAAACAUAAUUAUCUGUAUGAGCUGCAAAUUGUGAUAAUUUGAUUAGUCAUGUGUUAACAACUGAUACACAAAGAAAUUAUACUUUACAUGUAGCAAGUGGCAUGUAGUUAUGUUUCACCAAUAUCAUUAUAACAUUGCAUAAAAAUGAGUUUGUUUACACUAUCAUCUCGCUGGGAAAGACAGAUUUGUGGGAGAUUUAAAAGAUACUUAGAUGAGGCCUUUUCUUGUGUCAUCAGGCUUUAAAAGAACUUCCCCCGAGAAAAAGUUCAGUUGGCUACAAAAUUUGGUGUUACUAGAUCAGAAGGGAUAGUUCUGCAAUUGGGAGUAAAAGGUACUCCUGAAUAUGUGAGGGAGUGCUGUGAAGCAAGUCUUAAGCGUCUUGAUGUCAAGUAUAUUGAUUUGUACUAUCAGCAUCGAAUAGACACUUCAGUGCCAAUUGAAGACACUGUAAGCUUUGAAUGUUUUUCCUCUGCGAUCCUCUAAGUUUUUCAAUCUAGAUGAUUAAGUGCUUUAACAUUGAUCUUUGUAUAUAUGGAAGAUGGAGGAGUUGAAACAACUAGUAAAUGAAGGAAAGAUAAAUUAUAUUGGGUUGUCAGAGGCUAAUGCUGACACUAUAAAGAGAGCACAUGCUGUUCAUCCGAUCACUGCUCUGCAAAUGGAGUAUUCAUUAUGGAGCCGUGACAUUGAAGAAGAUAUAAUUCCACUUUGCAGGUAUUUUACACACAAAUACUAACUGUGCUGUUCUUAUAGUCACAAAUUACAAGUAUACUUGAAUUUUUCAGUUUGAUAUGUUUUCUAACUCUGUCAUGUAUGCUUUAAGGUUGGAUUAUCUCUAAAUUAUCUGAAAGAAUUUGCUUUUAUUUAACUUAUAAGCAUUUGUGCUUGCAGAGAACUCGGGAUUGGAAUAGUAGCAUAUAGCCCUCUUGGUCGUGGUUUUUUUGCAGGAAAGGCGGUGGUAGAAAGUUUGCCUAGUCAAAGCUUGCUGGUAUGUAGCUAGUAAUAACUAACAAAUGAUAGUUUUAAGUUUGCAUGACUAAGGGAAGGUUUGAACUAUUCGUUGGAUCACAUCUCUCCGGAGGGAAAAUGGAAUAGAUAUCAGUGUUAGUUCUAGCAUGUUUAAAUCAUUUCUUUUUCUUCAGGAUCAAUUCUGAAUGCCAGAAGCUACAAGCUACUCAUAGUAGCUUCUUAUCAGAAUUGAUUUUGGCUAUCAAAUGUAGAAGGAUUUCCAAACAUGCAAUUUUAUUCCUGCAGCGAUUCUCUACUGAAAUUUCUUCAUGUUUCUGGUAACAGACUAUGCAUCCCAGGUUCACAGGAGAAAACUUGGAAAAGAACAAGCUUUUCUAUAAACGACUUGAUGACAUGGCUUCUAAGCAUGCAUGCACUCCUUCUCAAUUAGCCUUAGCAAUGGCUUCUCCAUCAGGGAAAUGACAUAAUCCCUAUCCCUGGUAGAGUCUUAACUAUAUUUAGGAAGACUUAUGUGUUCAAUAUAAGCAUGAGUUGCUUACUAUCUGUUUCUAAAGUUAAUCUUUUUUAUCAUUUGAUAUUCUGCCAAUUUACUUUCUAGAUUUUACUAAUUUCUCUUAAUAAUCACUACUCAAUGAAGAAGGAAAAAAACAUGGUAUUACCAUGUUUGGAUCGGUUUUUCUUUCGUUAGAAUCAAUUCUGACACCCAAACAUUACUCACAAAAGCUUCUCCCCAUGAUUGAUUUUGACUUUAAAAUCAAUUGCAGAAGGAUUUUCAAACAUGCACUCAAAUCCUUUUCUAUACAACUUCUAUAAUAAAUCGAUCAUCUGUCUCUUUCAAGCAUAAUGUGCAUUUGUUCAUUGACUGUACUAUUGUCCAUAAAAUAUGUUGCUAGUUGCUACUAUAAGCAUGUGAUAGAUUGAUUCUAAUGACUAUGUGCUAAUCAUAUAUUACUCUGAUACCACAGGGACUACUAAACUGAGGAACUUUGAGAACAACAUUGGGUCUCUGAUUGUGAAGCUUACAGAGGAAGAUUUGAAAGAAAUUUCUGAAGCAGUUCCUGUUGAUGAAAUUGCUGGGAAACGAGAAUAUGAUAGCUUAUCAAAAUAUACUUGGAAGUUUGCAACUACACCUCCAAAGUAAUUGCAUAGAGAAGAACCGUUGAAGUGUGUAGUGAGUUACUGUUGAGUUUUUAUUUAGUCAUUAUGCUCAUCUCAAUAAAAUAACCUCUGGGAUUCUAGGAGUGAUCUGUUGGAAAAUGGAAAAGCAGUUAUACUACUACCUUCAAAUGUAUGCAUGCCAUUGUUAAUUCUACAACUUAACUGACACUCCUUUUACUAGCAAAAAAUUAUCUCUUAUGUGCAUAUUUCACCAUCUGCACUAUCAGUUCUACUUAACAGCUAUAAUGGCAUUCUGUUUUAGACUAUGGAUCUUUUUUCAUGAACUGAUUGAUAGUGGUUGAGUGAGCCAUAAUUUCUGCAUACAAAUCAGGGCCGGUCCCGACAUUUUGGAGGCCCUGGGCAAAUAAUAACAAUGGAUCCUUAAUAAUUUUAAGGUUCGAAAUUUCAUCAGAACUAUUAUAUUGGUUUGUUUGGCAACUUUCGAACCCGAUACAUAAAAGUAACAUAAACAGUUACUAACCACUAGACCAGCUCAAGUCAUUAAUAACAUCUUGAACAUUAAUUAUUAUAACUAAAUUUUAUUUUAGGGGAAAAGUUUAAUGAGAUUUUUUUUUGGGCCCCUUCUUUUUAGAAGCCCUGGGCUGUGGGCCUGCUUGCACAGGUCCAGGGCCGGCCUUGAUACAAAUAUCAGGGAACAAUGACUGCGGGACAGUAGCUCAAUUCGCCUGUAUCAAUCUUUAAAGCUGGAGAGUAUAACACUAUUUUAUAAAUUAGGUUACUCUUAUUGGAUAUUGGGGUUAUAAUGGUCUCUACUCGAGCUAUCUUCAAAGGAUAAUGUUUGGGGGACAUACGACGAUCCGCAACCACCAAUCAAUACACAUAUUGUGACCGUUUUUUGGGCGGCUUGAGACACAUCCACAACGUUAAUUAAAUUCAAAUGGUUUUUCAUUGUUAAGGUUUAACUUUGUUUUUAAAAUCAUAUUCAAACAAAUUUACACUUUUUAUUCUAAUUAUAAUAAUUAUUUUUAAUUUAAAUUUAAAUUACUUUUAUAACUUAAUAUUGAAAUUUAUGAUUUAAAUUAAAUGUUCACUAAUUUAUUUUAAUUCCAUUUAUAUUAUUUACCCAACUUUUUAGGGUACGAUUUAAAAAAUUAAAAUCACUUCUAAUAAUAAAUUACAAAUCAUAAUUUUUUUUUCCUAACUAAACGUGUGUUGAAUUUUGUAUAAAUUGCAAAACUAAACAUAAUAAAAUAUAAGAAAUUAGUGUUCCAUAAUUAGUGAUACAGAAGAAAGUGUAGAGAAAGUCAUCUUAUUCUCUAUUAGCAAAUAAAAGUAUAUCAGGUCGAUCCUUAGAUGCUAGAGCUGAUCAGAAAAAAGCAAAAAUUGCUAUAAGCAAAGCCAUGUGACCUUAAUUGCAAGAAAAGUUCACUCAGAGCAUCUUCAAUGAUAGGAACUUAUUUUGGGACUUAACUCAAUUUUUGUGGGUCCAAAUUGCUACAUAAAAUUUAAACACCCAUAAGGUCUUCAUACACAUUUCACUCUAGUGGUUGAGAUCUUAUUUUACUUUUUGACUGUACCCACAGUACCCAAUAUAUUUAUAUUAUUUAUUCCCCUCCUUAAUUUUCACUUUGGUUAUGGUAUUGAAAGAGAGAGGAAAAAAUAUUAUUUUAUUUAAGAUCUCACAUUUGAGAGUACAUGAGCUAAGGCAUGCCAUGUAGGAUAGCUCCAAUGGUGAGACCUAAUAAGAUCCGGAUCUUAUUUUAAGGUCCCAAAAUAAGGACUCCAUUAGAGAUGCUCUUAAACACGAAACACGAAUGCUUUUUCCAGCAAAUGUAAUUUGGACAGAAAGCAUUGAAUUAGAGCAAAUAAAUUGAUGUUAAAGGCAGAGGUUCAGUUUCUUGGUUAACUAAGAAUCACUCCAAGAAACUAGAAAGUGAGUUAGUAUAGUGGUUCAAUAUUUUAUUUUUUAAAUAUACGGUUAAAGCUUAUGUAAAUGAAAACAACUCUUUUAUAAACCUUUAUUAUUUUUUGCGCUAGUGUGAGAGAUUAGUCACACAAAUAUCUAUUAUGGGAAUAUCCCUACGAAUCAUUCCAAGCCACGAAUUAUAUUCCAAGAAAGCAUUAGAACGUUCUAGUAAGUAGUACUUACCGAACUAGGUCUGCAGUUAAAACUAAUUGAAGUCCUAAAGGUUCCACGUCAAACACCAACCAUUUUAACCCCUGAUUCACCCUUAUGGCCCUCAAGGGAACCACGUCUCCUCCUUUUACCAUGUGUGGACAAGAGAACCCACGUGAACCAAUUACCUUUUGGACCUAUACACACUAGACGUGGAACCAAACUGUCCACCACAAUGCUUGCCUUAAUUCUAUAUAAACCACCUCAUUCAUUGCUACUAUACCUAACAAAGGAGGUGUAGCAUUAAAAGCAUAGCUUAAAAACUUUACUAAGCUCUUACUAGAAAUUCUCUGAUACAACUUGUUCUUGAGUUAACUUUGCCAAUUUCUCUAAUUCAUCAAUGGCUGCUAUGCAAUCUAUCAUCUCUAGCCCUAUGAUCCGCAUGACCACCAGGUCAAGGGUGAACCAGUUCACCACUCCUGCUGUGUACAUGCCAAGCCUGAGAAGGAAUGCUACCCUGAGAGUUAGGUCCAUGGCUGAGGUAAGGGUGCUUAAAAUAAUUUUCAGACAUAUAGUACUUGUAACAUGCUUCAAUUUUUUAUGAGCACUAAUUUUGUUUGUACACAUGACGAGGAACAAUCUUGUGUGUAACUAUAUGAAUUUUGGUUAAUGUUUGAAGGGAGAGCCAAAAGAGCAACCUAUUGAACCUGUUACUAGCGCUAGCCCAGUUACACCAUCACCACCACCACCACCACCAAAACCUCGUGCACCAAAGGUGAGUGAGCCAAGUGUUCACUAUUUUUUUUUAUAAUAAGUUAUGCUAAUUACACCAUGGAUCUACAGUAUGAGACUUUUACUGACAUGAGUGAUGGUAAAUUUGCAGGUGAGCACUAAGUUUUCUGAUGUGAUGGCAUUUGGUGGGCCUGCACCUGAGAGGAUCAAUGGAAGACUAGCCAUGAUUGGGUUUGUAGCUGCAAUGGCAGUGGAAGUUGCCAGAGGGCAGGGAGUGUUUGAACAAAUAUCAGAUGGUGGAGUUCCAUGGUUCUUGGGGACAAGUGUGGUGUUCACUCUUGCUUCUUUGGUUCCACUGUUUCAAGGGGUUAGUGUGGAGUCAAAAUCCAAAGGUCUCAUGACCUCUGAUGCAGAACUCUGGAAUGGAAGGCUUGCUAUGUUGGGUUUGAUUGCCUUGGCCUUUACAGAGUAUGUUAAGGGAGGAACCCUGGUGUAAGAGUUCAAAGGCUUAGGAACAAUGUCUUAUAAGGAUUGUUUUAUAGUAGGUGAUGUAUGAAACUUGGUGUGUUUUUUAAUGCACAUAUAGAAUUAAUGAAAUUUCAUACCUUAAUCAUAAUCAGAUUUCUUGUUAUCACUUCUAAACUAAGAGCAAAAAUCGUUGAAGGCUAUUAUUAACUGUUGUGAUCCAUACAAAUCAAACAAUGUAUUGUUAACCUGCCUUAAUCGAAUAACUUAAACUGCACACAUGGAGAAAAGUUGGAAAUUGGAAAACAUGAUGAAGUUCUUGCUAAUGAGAAUCAGGUAAUUACUAUCCGGCAAUUGCAAUUAUAAUAAACAGAAAAUUAAUGUGGUUAAAACAUUCAGACCAUUUGUGUGGGGUAACCUGCAGUAAACCUUUAACUAUUGUAAUAGCUAAUAUCUAUCUAACAAUGCAUUCAGGAUAACAUUGAAAUGUCAUUAAACUAGUUCAUACUUCAUAAUGAUAGAUUCGAUGACAAUUGGCCAAUUGCAAUAGCAGAUACUUAAAUUACAUUUCAGGAUACCGAAUGGAACUUUCACUCUUAAUCAUAGAGAAAGCACAACAUGUCCUUUCUUUCUUGGUUGCCAAACACUUGAGACAGAAGAUUACAGCUGGGAGAUAAGUUUACACAUAUGGACUUGGGAAGCUUGGAGGGGUUGUUCAUAAAAUUGACUUGAGUAUGACUUGAGUUGGCAAUGUUAAAUCAUAAAAUACUAAUUAACUCAAUAUUCUGCUUUUGUUUAUGCUGUCGACCCACUUUUUUUAACACAUAAUGAUUAACAUUUAUUUGAAUUACUCUCAAUAUGUCCUUUUUUUCUUGGUUGCCAAACACUUGAGAGAGAAGGUUACACACAUGAAUUUGGGAAGCUGGGAGGGGUUGUUCAUAAAAUUGACUUGAGUAUGACUUGUGUCGACAAUGUUAAAUCAUAAAAUACUAAUUAACUCAAGUGGUUGUUCAUAAAAUUGACUUGAAUAUGACUUGAGUCAACAAUAUUAUUAAAUCAUAAAAUACUAAUUAACUAAAUAUUCUGCUUCCGUUCAUGCUAUCGACCAUAUCUUUUUAACACAUAUUAAUUGAAAUUUAUUUGGGUUUCACUCAACAUGUCCUUUUUUUUCUUGGUUGCCAAACCCUUCAGAGAGAAGGUUACACCUGAGACUGAGAUAGAAGUUGACACAUAUGGACUUGGGAAGCUUGGAGUGGUUGUCCAUAAAAUUAACUUGAGUCAAAAAUGUUAAAUAAUAAAAUAUUAAUUAACUCAAUAUUUUGCUUUUGUUUAUGCUAUCGACCCUCUCUUUUUAGCACAAUGAUUGAAAUUUAUUUGGGUUCUCACUCAAAAUGUGAGUCUCACCACCAAUUUAGUAUGUUUCAUGUGAAUUUCAACCACUAAAAGAAAGAAUUGAAAAAAGAGUUAAAAUAAGUGCUGUUAGCCACUUCUCAUAGUAACACUAUUGAAUAAUAUAGUGCUGACUGACAAUUGACCAAUGUUAACAUACAUAGUGUCAAACAUGGUGCUGACACAAAACGAGCUGGGUAGUAGAAACAACUAAAACUUUAGAGGAACAACAGCCUUUAACUAAGUACAAAAAUAGAAGCCGUGAUAUUGGGUUUUUUACCUAAGUAGUGUAGUUUUGUAGUAAAAUUACAGUUUUGAGGUACUUUUUUUUAUUUACCAUUCUGGUAUAAAUCGCCAUUGUCAGUGGCAAUUUUAUUUUAUUUUUUUAAAGAAUCGCUAAUGCUAUUGGCAUUUUAGUUUUUCUUUUUAGUUUUUUUAUUAAAUUGCCAACAUGGUUGGUGUUUUUCUUAUUUUUUUAAACAAUCGCCAAACAUGUUGGCGUUUUAUUACUUUUUUUACAGUUUUUUUUAAAUGUCAUAUAUAUAUAUAUAUAAACAACUAAAAUUGUAUUUAAUCAAUUGAUACUCACCCGUGUCUUAUUCACUUUUAUAGUGUCUCCGAUGGUUAGUUUAAGUGAUAAAAGUUUAAGACAUGAGAGUUGAGUGAGAUGAAUGGUGAAGGAUUCAUGGUUCGAACCCUAGGAGAGACUAAUUUACUAACAUUACUAACAACUAACAUUUACUUAUAAAAAAACUCACUUUUGCAGUACUAUGGUCAUAAGUAUUUGAACCGAUAUUUAAAGAUAAACAAUACGCAUUACAUAAUUUAAUUUAAGAGAAAUGGCACAAAAGUAUGUGAGUAUCAAUGGAUUAAAUACCAUUUUAAUUGCUGGUUUUUUAAAAAAAUAUAAGCCAACAAGUUGGCCAUUUAAAAAAAAUGUAAAAAAAGUAGUAAAACACCAACAUGGUUGGGGAUUGUUAAAAAAAAUUAAAAAUAAGAAAAAUGCCAACAUGGUUGGCAAUUUAAUAAAAAAAGGAAAAAAUAAAAUAAAACACCAAUAGCAUCGACGAUUUUUUAAAAAAUAAAAAAAAUGUCACUAACAGUGGCGAUUUAUACUAAAAUGGUAAAUAAAUAAAAAAGUACACAAAGCUGUAAUUUUGUUACAAAAUUAAACUGGGGUUGUCUAAAUGACCCAAGGUAAAAAUUGGGUUAAAUCACCCUUUGAUGAAGUGUGCCAAUAAUAUUAUAACAUGUAUUUUUAUAAAUUCUAACUUAUUUCAGUAUUUAUUUUAUUUAUAUUUUCAUAAUAUUCAUUUUAUAUAAUAAUUUAUUUGCAUACUAAUAAACCAAUCAAUUAGUAAUAAUAACACAUAACUCCUUUUUCAAAAAGAAAAAUUGAGAACCCUAAUCCCAAUUUCUUCCAUGCUUUGAUCAAAAUCAUUUGAGUAAAAUCUCUCAAAUAUGAAACUUCUGUGUAAUCAAUUGAUUGUAGUAAACAAGCAAACUCUUCCUCGUCAAUUACGUUUUCAUUCAAAUGAUAAAAAGAAAUUAAUUUCUGCACCAUAUUUCAUUACCAUUGCACGAGUUAUCUUCAAAUGUCAUAGGUUUUUGAUGUGAAAUCAAUAAAUCCCUAAUCACCCCCUUUAAGAAAUGUAUGCCAUAAACUCUAUGCUAAGAGUAAAAGCAAUUAGGAAGAUGCAUGAAAGGUGAUUGCCGACGACGGUGAUGCAACUUUGCUUCUUGGGAGAACAAAUUAGAGUAGCAGACCAAGAAAGCAAGGAAGAAAUUGGGGAUUAGGGUUCUCAAUUUUUGUUUGGAAAAAAAAGUUGUGUGAUUAUAUCAUAAUUAAUUUGUUUAUUGUGCAAAUAGAUUAUUUUAUAGAAUGAAUAUUAUGAAAAUAUAAAUGAAAGAAAUAGUGAAAUGACUUGGAAUUUAUAAAACACAUAAUAUAAUAUUAUUCACACACCUCAUCAAAGGAUGAUUUAACCCAAUUUUUACCUUGGGUCAUUUAGACAACCCCAAUUAAACUACACUACUCGGGUACAAAACCCGCAAUAUUCCAUCGAUACUUAUACUAGCGCAAGAGCUUAUUCAUUACAUGGAUAUCUCAUUUUCAUAUAGAGGGAUGGAUCUCUACACUCAUCCAAGGCUGGUAAGAAGCAAGCACAUGCAGUUCAUAAGCAGAAUGAAAUGAAGCACGGCAAACAAAUUGUAAGGGUAAUGAGACUACACGAAUAAGAAGCUCCAGGUGGAACCAUACCAACGAGAUAAUACUAGUUGCCAGACAAAUGGGAUGAAAAACUCAUCUGGAUGACUCACUUGUUCAUAUGUGAAGCGCAGUUGAGUAAACAUCUGAAAAACAAGAUUCAGCCUAAUAGAAACAAACAAGACAAGUACUGCUCCUUAUAUACCAAGAAACCAAAAGAACGUUCUAGUAGUGACCGAACUAGGUCUGCAGUUAAAACUAACACCAACCAUUUUAACCCCUGAUUCACCCUUAUGGCCCUCAAGGGAACCACGUCUCCUCCUUUUACCAUGUGUGGACAAGAGAACCCACGUGAACCAAUUACCUUUUGGGCCUAUACACACUUGACGUGGAACCUAAAUGUCCACCACAAUGCUUGCCUUUAAUUCUAUAUAAACUACCUUAUUCUAUUCAAUGUAUCAUCAAACAAAGGAGGUGUAGCAUUAAAAGCAUAGCUUGUAAACUUGACUAAGCUCUUCCUUGAAAUUCUCUGAUAUAGCAAGUUCUUGUGUUAUCUCAACCAACACUUCCAAUUCAGCAAUGGCUUCCUCAACUUCUGCUAUGCAAUCUAUCCUGGCUAACCCUAUGAUCCGCAUGACCACCAGGUCAAGGGUGAACCAGUUCACCAUUCCUUCUGUCUACAUGCCAAGCCUGAGAAGGAACUCUAGCUUGAGAGUUAGGUCCAUGGCUGAAGAGCCAAAAGAGCAAAGUGCUAGCCCAGUUACUCCAUCACCACCACCACCAAAACCUCGUGCACCAAAGGUGAGUGAGCCAAGUGUUUGAAGAAUAUAAUUUACAUAGUUGUGACUCUGUUCACUAUUUUCUUUACAUUUAAUUAGUUAUAUAUGCUAAUUAAUCCUUGGAUAUGAGACUUUACUAACAUGAGUGAUGGUAAAAUUGCAGGUGAGCACUAAGUUUUCAGAUGUGAUGGCAUUUGGUGGGCCUGCACCUGAGAGGAUCAAUGGAAGAUUGGCCAUGAUUGGGUUUGUAGCUGCAAUGGCAGUGGAAGUUGCCAGAGGGCAGGGAGUGUUUGAACAAAUAUCAGAUGGUGGAGUUCCAUGGUUCUUGGGAACUAGUGUGGUGCUCACUCUAGCUUCAUUGGUUCCACUGUUUCAAGGGGUUAGUGUGGAGUCAAAGUCCAAAGGAGUCAUGACCUCUGAUGCAGAGCUCUGGAAUGGAAGGCUUGCUAUGUUGGGUUUGAUUGCCUUGGCCUUUACAGAGUAUGUUAAGGGAGGAAUCCUGGUGUAAGAGUUCAAAGGCUUAGGAACAAUGUAUUAUAAGGAUUGAUUUAUAGAAGGUUAUGCAUGAAACUUGGUGUGUUUAUUAAUACACAUAGAAUUAAUGAAAUUUCAUACCUUAUUCAUAAACAGAUUUCUUGUUAUCUAUUUCUAAACUAAGAGCAAAAAUCGUUGAAGGCUAUUAUUAACUGUUG
RNAcentral lists this long non-coding RNA (11688 nucleotides) under Lotus japonicus. RNAcentral's name for it is "long non-coding RNA (LJAP_LNC002104)". The record is from RNAcentral. Lineage: Eukaryota; Viridiplantae; Streptophyta; Magnoliopsida; Fabales; Fabaceae.